UCAUCAUCAUCACCAAUUUCAUAAUUUCAUCUCAAUUCCUUUAUUAUAUUUUUUGUUAGAGCUGAGUUCUAGAUAGUUUACCUUAUGGGAAAAAGAUUUACAUGAAAUGAAGAAUUUAGGAUUUAAGUUAUUUUUGUUAUGAUCAUGAAAAUUGAAAUUAAUACAUGUUCUAGUUAUUGUUUACAUACUUGUGAUUUUCCAUGUUAUUGGACGUUGAUAGUGUGUUGUUGCUAUUGAUGAAUAAUGAUUAUCUGAGAUGUGGUUUUUA
This 268-nucleotide long non-coding RNA is filed under the name Lathyrus oleraceus (garden pea). RNAcentral describes it as "Pisum sativum (pea) long non-coding RNA (PSAT_LNC012663)". The record is from RNAcentral. Lineage: Eukaryota; Viridiplantae; Streptophyta; Magnoliopsida; Fabales; Fabaceae.